RNAcentral lists this ribosomal RNA (253 nucleotides) under uncultured bacterium. RNAcentral describes it as "partial 16S ribosomal RNA". It matches the Rfam family "Bacterial small subunit ribosomal RNA", at positions 524 to 776 of the family's 1533-position model. The record is from RNAcentral.
GACAGAGGGUGCAAACGUUGUUCGGAAUUACUGGGCGUAAAGCGUGUGUAGGCGGCCAUGUAAGUCGGAUGUGAAAGCCCCGGGCUCAACCCGGGAAGUGCACUCGAUACUGCGUGGCUUGAGUACCGGAGAGGUUGGUGGAAUUCUCGGUGUAGAGGUGAAAUUCGUAGAUAUCGAGAGGAACACCGGUGGCGAAGGCGGCCAACUGGACGGAUACUGACGCUGAGACACGAAAGCGUGGGGAGCAAACAGG